Austrofundulus limnaeus is the source of this 943-nucleotide long non-coding RNA. RefSeq lists it as uncharacterized. The record is from RefSeq and is a predicted model, not a curated record. NCBI's taxonomy places the organism in Eukaryota, Metazoa, Chordata, Actinopteri, Cyprinodontiformes, Rivulidae. The transcript has 4 exons.
UUAUUUUAAAAAUUCAUUCUUUCUUUUUAGCUUUACAGCUUUAUAAAGGAGAUAAAGAAUGAGAUAAAGUGUGCAGCAAUUGGACUAGAUGGUUCUUUUUUGCAUGUGAAGAAAAGAAGUGAGAGGAGGCCGGCAGUUUUUGAGAAACAAGAAAAGACCCGGGCGAAAUUUAUCUCCGAGUUAAAAAUGUUUUCAUGACAAAAGGUCCUUCAGAGAGCCGGGGGUCCGCACUGAGAGGCCCUGAUGUGUGCUCCGGAGCAUCUUUGGAGGCAGGAGGAAAAUCGAURGCUGAGCUGAGUGAUGAGGAAGUGCUGUCCUGCGGCGGCGGCGCUGCCAGCUGCACGCCAAGCGGCGGUCUCCAAAUGAACAUCCUAAAUAAUGUGCUGGAAAACAAUUUGGCCUCUGAGAGAUGAGUCAUAAUUCAGCCCUCAGAGACCCCCAUCACCCCCCCUGCCUGCAGAUAACAAGCUCUGAUUUGGUCUGGGACAAAUUAGUUUCACUUCCAGUUGCACAAAUGGUUCUCCCUGCAGUCAGAGGGAAAGUUUCCUGUCUGUCGGACUGGACUCGUCACAAACUUCACCUGCAGACGAGCCUGUGAUGUGGACCCUGCCCGCCUGGUUCUUUCCGGACCCUCCUCCUCUUCCACGUAUUAUUUCAGUUUCAAGCAAAGCGCUGAGAGGCUGACAGCCUGCUGACGUCACCGAGGUUCUCCGGCAGCUGAGGAGGAGGAGGAGGAGGAGGAAGAGGAGGAGGAAGAAGAGGAGAGGGAAUGAGAGCUCUGGAUGUGGAGGUCGGACUGCGGGGCUCGGAGGACCGCGGUCUUGUUUUCUCCGGGACACUUUGGACCCUUUUGAGUCUCUAGGAUGCAGCACUGAUGAGCAACGUUUAGAUGACUGAAGCACCGAUCCUGAGCAGCAGCAGUCCACAGUAACAGUUAGGUAUC